AUUGAAGCACUGGUUCUCGUAUGAUCACCGAAGUUAAGCAACGUCGAGACUGGUCAUUACCUAGAUGGGUGACCGCUUUGGAAUACCAGAUGCUGUAAG
Molecule: non-coding RNA, 99 nt
Organism: Acanthosepion pharaonis
Lineage: Eukaryota; Metazoa; Mollusca; Cephalopoda; Sepiida; Sepiidae
Source: the annotation of a GenBank genome assembly